Molecule: ribosomal RNA, 253 nt
Filed under: uncultured bacterium
Lineage: Bacteria
Description: partial 16S ribosomal RNA
Rfam family: Bacterial small subunit ribosomal RNA
Source: RNAcentral
GACAGAGGUCCCGAGCGUUAGGCGGAAUCACUGGGCUUAAAGCGUGUGUAGGCGGAGUGCUAAGUACCUUGUGAAAUCCCACGGCUCAACCGUGGAACUGCUUGGUAUACUGGUUCUCUUGAGCCACCUAGGGGCAACCGGAACAAACGGUGGAGCGGUGAAAUGCGUAGAUAUCGUUUGGAACGCCAAUGGUGAAAACAGGUUGCUGGGGGUGUGCCGACGCUGAGACACGAAAGCCAGGGGAGCAAACGGG